RNAcentral lists this ribosomal RNA (1463 nucleotides) under Virgibacillus sp. RNAcentral describes it as "bacterial SSU rRNA". The record is from RNAcentral. Lineage: Bacteria; Bacillati; Bacillota; Bacilli; Caryophanales; Bacillaceae.
AGAACUCCUUCGGGAGUGAUGCCUGUGGAACGAGCGGCGGACGGGUGAGUAACACGUGGGCAACCUGCCUGUAAGACUGGGAUAACCCCGGGAAACCGGGGCUAAUACCGGAUAACACUUUUUGGUACAUGCCAAGAAGUUGAAAGGCGGCCUUUUUGGCUGUCACUUACAGAUGGGCCCGCGGCGCAUUAGCUAGUUGGUAGGGUAACGGCCUACCAAGGCAACGAUGCGUAGCCGACCUGAGAGGGUGAUCGGCCACACUGGGACUGAGACACGGCCCAGACUCCUACGGGAGGCAGCAGUAGGGAAUCUUCCGCAAUGGACGAAAGUCUGACGGAGCAACGCCGCGUGAGUGAUGAAGGUUUUCGGAGUCUGWAAAACAUCUUUGUUGUGGAUAGGGAAGAACAACCCACGUCCSCCGUAWMAAAWAGAGGCCCGSCUMCCUUGRCGCGUGUMCCUAAAACCACARAAASCCCCGCGYUUUAWCUCWCGUGCCCACSCAGCCGGCGGAUAAUAACGUGRGGGGGCCAAGCUKUUGUCCGGGAAUUUAUUGGGGCGUAAAAGCGCGCGCCAGGCCGGUCCUUUUAAGUUYUGAUGUGAAAGCCCACGGCUUCAACCCGUGGAUGGCCAUUGGAAASUGGAGGACUUGAGUACAGAAGAGGAGAGUGGAAUUUCCACGUGUAGCGGUGAAAUGCGUAGAGAUGUGGAGGAACACCAGUGGCGAAGGCGACUCUSUGGUCUGUAACUGACGCUGAGGUGCGAAAGCGUGGGGAGCGAACAGGAUUAGAUACCCUGGUAGUCCACGCCGUAAACGUUGAGUGCUAGGUGUUAGGGGGUUUCCGCCCCUUAGUGCUGAAGUUAACGCAUUAAGCACUCCGCCUGGGGGAGUACGGCCGCAAGGCUGAAACUCAMAAGAAUUGACUGGGGGCCCGCMCMAGCGGGKGGAGCAUGGKGGUUUAAUUUYRAARCAACGCCGAAGAAGACMUUACCCAAGGUCUUGGACAGUCCUCUGACACCCCUAGAGAUAGGGCAUUCCCUUCGGGGACAGAGUGACAGGUGGUGCAUGGUUGUCGUCAGCUCGUGUCGUGAGAUGUUGGGUUAAGUCCCGCAACGAGCGCAACCCUUGAUCUUAGUUGCCAGCAUUGAGUUGGGCACUCUAAGGUGACUGCCGGUGACAAACCGGAGGAAGGUGGGGAUGACGUCAAAUCAUCAUGCCCCUUAUGACCUGGGCUACACACGUGCUACAAUGGAUGGAACAAAGGGCAGCGAAACCGCAAGGUCAAGCAAAUCCCAUAAAACCAUUCUCAGUUCGGAUUGCAGGCUGCAACUCGCCUGCAUGAAGCCGGAAUCGCUAGUAAUCGCGGAUCAGCAUGCCGCGGUGAAUACGUUCCCGGGCCUUGUACACACCGCCCGUCACACCACGAGAGUUGGUAACACCCGAAGUCGUAGAGGUAGCUUAUGCU